This 733-nucleotide ribosomal RNA is filed under the name Dyella soli. Its description in RNAcentral is "partial 23S ribosomal RNA". It matches the Rfam family "Bacterial large subunit ribosomal RNA", at positions 1 to 787 of the family's 2925-position model. The record is from RNAcentral. Lineage: Bacteria; Pseudomonadati; Pseudomonadota; Gammaproteobacteria; Lysobacterales; Rhodanobacteraceae.
GUUAUAUGGUCAAGCGACCAAGCGUAUACGGUGGAUGCCUUGGCGGUCAGAGGCGAUGAAGGACGUGGCAGCCUGCGAAAAGUGUCGGGGAGCUGGCAACAAGCUUUGAUCCGGCAAUGUCCGAAUGGGGAAACCCACUGCUUAGGCAGUAUCCCGUACUGAAUACAUAGGUACGGGAAGCGAACCCGGGGAACUGAAAUAUCUAAGUACCCGGAGGAAAAGAAAUCAACCGAGAUUCCGUCAGUAGCGACGAGCGAACGCGGACUAGCCCAAAAGCGCACAGUGUUUUAGUCGAAUGGUGUGGAAAAGCCAGCCAUAGCGGGUGAUAGCCCCGUAGGCGAAAGGGCACCGUGCGUGAAAUUGAGUAAGGCGGGGCACGUGAAACCCUGUCUGAACAUGGGGGGACCAUCCUCCAAGGCUAAAUACUCCUGACCGACCGAUAGCGAACAAGUACCGUGAGGGAAAGGCGAAAAGAACCCCGGAGAGGGGAGUGAAAUAGAUCCUGAAACCGUAUACGUACAAGCAGUGGAAGCCCGCAAGGGUGACUGCGUACCUUUUGUAUAAUGGGUCAGCGACUUACUGUCAGUGGCGAGCUUAACCGUCUAGGGGAGGCGAAGGGAAACCGAGUCUGAAUAGGGCGCAUAGUCUCUGGCAGUAGACCCGAAACCGAGUGAUCUAUCCUUGGCCAGGUUGAAGGUGCGGUAACACGCACUGGAGGACCGAACCCACAUCU